GAUGAAGAACGCAGCGAAAUGCGAUAAGUAGUGUGAAUUGCAGAAUUCAGUGAAUCAUCGAAUCUUUGAACGCGCAUUGCGCCCCUUGGUGUUCCAUGGGGCAUGCCUGUUCGAGCGUCAUUUGUACCUUCAAGCCUUGCUUGGUGUUGGGUGUUUGUCUCGCCUCUGCGCGCAGACUCGCCUCAAAACAAUUGGCAGCCGGCGUAUUGAUUUCGGAGCGCAGUACAUCUCGCGCUUUGCACUCAGAACGACGACGUCCAAAAGUACAUUUUUACACUCUUGACCUCGGAUCAGGUAGGGAUACCCGCUGAACUUAAGCAUAUCAAUAAGCGGAGGA
RNAcentral lists this unclassified non-coding RNA (337 nucleotides) under soil metagenome. RNAcentral's name for it is "partial contains 5.8S ribosomal RNA, internal transcribed spacer 2, and large subunit ribosomal RNA". The stretch from base 1 to 120 matches the Rfam family "5.8S ribosomal RNA", at positions 35 to 154 of the family's 154-position model. The record is from RNAcentral.